UACGUAGGGCGCGAGCGUUGUCCGGAAUUAUUGGGCGUAAAGGGCUCGUAGGCGGUUUGUCGCGUCGGGAGUGAAAUCCACUGGCUUAACUGGUGGCUUGCUUUCGAUACGGGCAGACUGGAGGUAUGCAGGGGAGAACGGAAUUCCUGGUGUAGCGGUGAAAUGCGCAGAUAUCAGGAGGAACACCGGUGGCGAAGGCGGGUCUCUGGGCCGGAACUGACGCUAAGGAGCGAAAGCGUGGGGAGCGAACAGG
This 253-nucleotide ribosomal RNA is filed under the name uncultured bacterium. RNAcentral's name for it is "partial 16S ribosomal RNA". It matches the Rfam family "Bacterial small subunit ribosomal RNA", at positions 524 to 776 of the family's 1533-position model. The record is from RNAcentral.